ACAGGAGUGGGUGGGUGAGGUUCUGUGGCCUGCAGUAUGCAGGAGGUCAGACUAGGUGAUCAUAAAGGUCCCUCUGACCUCAAAGUCUAUGCAUCUUCUUUUAAGAAUGAA
Molecule: non-coding RNA, 111 nt
Organism: Chelonoidis abingdonii (Abingdon island giant tortoise)
Lineage: Eukaryota; Metazoa; Chordata; Testudines; Testudinidae
Source: RefSeq, a predicted model, not a curated record